CUGAGAGAUUGCUACUAAGUCUAAGGAUUGCAGCAGGGGCGAAACUUGACCUAUGAUAUGAUAUUGAGGCAGUUAUGAGUAGUAUUUUUAAUUAUUGUAAUAUUGUAAGUAUAUAUUACAAGAUAAAUCGGAGGGCAAAUCGAGUGCCAGCAGCCGCGGUAAUACUUGUUCCGAUAGUGUGUAUGAUGAUUGAUGCAGUUAAAAAGUCUGUAGUUUAUUAUUAAUAAGCAUUGUGAGGUAUAUUGUAUGGUUAGGAGAGAGAUGAAAUGUGAUAACCCUAACUGGAUGAACAGAAGCGAAAGCUAUAUACUUAAAUGUUUUAUUAGAACAAGGACGUAAGCUAGAGGAUCGAAGAUGAUUAGAUACCAUUGUAGUUCUAGCAGUAAACUAUGUUAAAUCAUAGAUACAUUUUAAAAUGUAUUUAUGUAAAGAAAUUAAGAUUAUAUUGACUCUGGGGAUAGUAUGAUCGCAAGAUUGAAAAUUAAAGAAAUUGACGGAAGAAUACCACAAGGAGUGGAUUGUGCGGCUUAAUUUGACUCAACGCGGGGUAAUUUACCAGGUAUCACAUGAUAUAAUAUUUUAUCAUGAUAGUGGUGCAUGGCCGUUUCCAAUGGAUGCUGUGAAGUAAUGAUUAAUUUCAACAAGAUGUGAGACCCUCUAUUAAGACAGAUGUAGUGAUACAUAUGAAGGAGAGGAUUAAAACAGGUCCGUUAUGCCCUAAGAUAAUCUGGGUUGCACGCGCAAUACAAUAAUAUUUAAUAUUAUAAGGGAUAAUAUAAUGUAAGAUAUAUUUGAACAUGGAAUUGCUAGUAAAUUUUAUUUAAUAAGUAGAAUUGAAUGUGUCCCUGUUCUUUGUACACACCGCCCGUCGCUAUCUAAGAUGGUAUUAUCUAUGAACAAAUUAUA
This 906-nucleotide ribosomal RNA is filed under the name Nosema sp. RNAcentral's name for it is "SSU rRNA". It matches the Rfam family "Microsporidia small subunit ribosomal RNA", at positions 255 to 1236 of the family's 1311-position model. The record is from RNAcentral. Lineage: Eukaryota; Fungi; Microsporidia; Nosematidae.